AGAUUGAACGCUGGCGGCAUGCUUUACACAUGCAAGUCGAACGGUAACAGGCCGCAAGGUGCUGACGAGUGGCGAACGGGUGAGUAAUGUAUCGGAACGUGCCCAGUCGUGGGGGAUAACGCAGCGAAAGCUACGCUAAUACCGCAUACGAUCUAUGGAUGAAAGCGGGGGACCGUAAGGCCUCGCGCGAUUGGAGCGGCCGAUAUCAGAUUAGGUAGUUGGGUGGGUAAAGGCUCACCAAGCCAACGAUCUGCAGCUGGUCUGAGAGGACGACCAGCCACACUGGGACUGAGACACGGCCCAGACUCCACGGGAGGCAGCAGUGGGGAAUUUUGGACAAUGGGCGCGAAGCCUGAUCCAGCAAUGCCGCGUGCGAGGAAGAGGUCCGUUCGGGUUAGUAAACUGUCGUUUUUAGUACGGUAGCGUAACGGUCCGUAGGUUAACUACCGUGGGACUUAAGUCGACGGUACCGUAAGAAUAAGACACCGGUACUAACGUACGUCG
RNAcentral lists this ribosomal RNA (504 nucleotides) under uncultured soil bacterium. Its description in RNAcentral is "bacterial SSU rRNA". It matches the Rfam family "Bacterial small subunit ribosomal RNA", at positions 26 to 514 of the family's 1533-position model. The record is from RNAcentral.